GGUUGGCCACCGAGUUCCAUCACCUCACACGCAGGCCCCACGGUCCAGAGGACGCCGAGGCCAGACUCUGCUGCCUUGGACAUCAAGGCCUUCCAUGGCCAGGCCCCCGCCCAGGUCUCUAGCCUUCCCUGCCGCUUGCAAAAUGCCCUCCCACUCAACGCCCUUCUUUCCCCCACACUUCCGGGGUGGCCGCUCUGAGCGGUGGCCAGCCAGAGUUCUUCCCCCAAGAAGCGGAUGUCAGAAAUGUUAGGAAGCUCAGACAACCCCAAUCUCCGCCCUUCUCAUCUCCCAACCUAGAGCUGUGUAAUCUGAGGCUAGGAGGGGAGAUGGGUUGCCUGAGGCAGUGUCAAAUCUGGAGUGAGGAAUUGAAGACCAACUUCAGUGUGGCUACUGGCUAUUUAGAAAGGACCACCAGUGCGAAUAUGAGUGUGAAGUCGCUUCAGUUGUGUCCGACACUUUGCAACCCCACGGACUGCAGCCUGCCAGGCUCCUCUGUCCAUGGGAUUCUCCAGGCAAGAAUACUGGAGUGGGUUGCCAUUUCCUUCUCCAGGGGAAUCUUUCCAACCCAGGGAUGGAUCCGCGUCUCCUCCAUUGGCAGGUUCUUUACCACUAGAGCCACUGGGGAAGCCCACUAGACCACCAAGGAAGUCCCAGAUCCCACAUCUGAGUUGAGCUCAGGGCAUACGUAGGACCAGCCCAGCCUCAGACUCUGGUCCUGUCUCUGCCCUGCUCCCGAAAGUACGACCCAGGCAGCCUACUGAGCUUCCAUCCCUUCUUCCUCAUCCCUUAUUUUGGGUUUCCAACGGAGACUGCAGCCCCAAUUCUUCAUCUCCUAUGGACCUCAUACCCCAGCUGUGUCCUAGAGGACGGUAUGAGCCCCUAGACCUAUAUUCCAGUUGGAGCACUGACUGCACCCAGGCGCUGACCCCUGCCUGACCCCGGCCAUGGCCCUGGACUCUGGGUCUUCCUGAGCUCCGGAAGCUCUCUCUGUUUUGCAACCUGGCUGGCUUCCUUGAGUGGCCCUGGCCCCCAGGCUCACCUCCAUCGCCGUCCGUCUCCUCCUGAGGCCCCACGGAGCCUCCCUGGGCAGCACUUCAAGCUGUGGAGGCCCGCUCCCCACC
Bos taurus (domestic cattle) is the source of this 1121-nucleotide long non-coding RNA. The record is from Ensembl. NCBI's taxonomy places the organism in Eukaryota, Metazoa, Chordata, Mammalia, Artiodactyla, Bovidae.